This 520-nucleotide ribosomal RNA is filed under the name uncultured Glomus. Its description in RNAcentral is "SSU rRNA". It matches the Rfam family "Eukaryotic small subunit ribosomal RNA", at positions 569 to 1087 of the family's 1831-position model. Lineage: Eukaryota; Fungi; Glomeromycota; Glomeromycetes; Glomerales; Glomeraceae. The record is from RNAcentral.
AGCAGCCGCGGUAAUUCCAGCUCCAAUAGCGUAUAUUAAAGUUGUUGCAGUUAAAAAGCUCGUAGUUGAAUUUCGGGACCAAAUUGUCGGUCGUGCCUCGGUACGUACUGGCGUUAUUGGUUCCUCCCUUCUGAAGAACCACGAUGUCAUUAAUUUGGUGUCGCGGGGAAUCAGGACUGUUACUUUGAAAAAAUUAGAGUGUUUAAAGCAGGCUCGCGCUUGAAUACAUUAGCAUGGAAUAAUGAAAUAGGACGUUUGAUUCUAUUUUGUUGGUUUCUAGGAUCGACGUAAUGAUUAAUAGGGAUAGUUGGGGGCAUUAGUAUUCAAUUGUCAGAGGUGAAAUUCUUGGAUUUAUUGAAGACUAACUACUGCGAAAGCAUUUUGCCAAGGAUGUUUUCACUAAUCAAGAACGAAAGUUAGGGGAUCGAAGACGAUCAGAUACCGUCGUAGUCUUAACCAUAAACUAUGCCGGACUAGGGAUCGGAUGAUGUUAAUUUUUUUAAUGUACUCAUUCGGCGCC